CUUGAGCGAGCCGACCAGCAGCGGCUGGUCGGCGGGCCGGUCCUGGCCGUAGGUGGCGAGCAGGGCCUGCGCCUC
Molecule: non-coding RNA, 75 nt
Organism: Kitasatospora setae KM-6054
Lineage: Bacteria; Bacillati; Actinomycetota; Actinomycetes; Kitasatosporales; Streptomycetaceae
Rfam family: ASpks TB sRNA
Source: Rfam